RNA transcript from Musa acuminata subsp. malaccensis (wild Malaysian banana), 1857 nucleotides. It is a transcript of the gene named casein kinase 1-like protein 3, with no coding region annotated. The record is from RefSeq and is a predicted model, not a curated record. Lineage: Eukaryota; Viridiplantae; Streptophyta; Magnoliopsida; Zingiberales; Musaceae.
GCCCCUCAGCUCGUCUCCGUCGUCUUCUGAGACUUUUCAUACGCAGAGAUCUCGCCCUCGUGAAUCCUUCGCCUCCGAUCGAUACCCUAGUUCUUGAUGCUCCUCUGAGGGAGGAGUGGAAGCGAUCGAGGCAUGGAUCGGAUCGUCGGCGGGAAGUACAAGCUAGGGCGCAAGAUCGGGAGUGGAUCCUUCGGCGAGAUCUUUCUCGCGACACACGUCGACACGUUUGAGAUCGUCGCGGUUAAGAUCGAGAGCACUCGGUCCAAGCAUCCACAGUUACUAUACGAGGCCAAGUUGUAUAACAUUCUUCAGGGCGGAAGUGGUAUCCCUAACAUAAAAUGGUGUGGCGUCGACGGAGAGGAUAAUGUGCUUGUUCUUGAUUUGCUUGGUCCAAGCCUUGAGGAUCUGUUUGUCUAUUGCGGUCGCAAGUUCUCGUUAAAGACAGUUCUGUUGCUUGCAGAUCAGAUGCUUUCAAGAAUAGAGUAUGUGCACUCAAAGGGUUUUCUGCACAGAGACAUAAAACCUGAUAACUUCCUAAUGGGUCUCGGUCGAAAAGCCAAUCAGGUAUACAUCAUUGAUUUUGGGCUUGCAAAAAGAUAUAGGGAUUCUACCACCAACCGUCAUAUUCCAUACAAAGAAAAUAAGAGCUUGACUGGAACUGCUCGUUAUGCAAGUUGCAAUACUCAUCUCGGCAUUGAGCAAAGUCGUCGGGAUGAUUUGGAAUCUCUAGGUUAUGUUUUUCUCUAUUUCCUCAGAGGGAGUCUUCCAUGGCAAGGUCUGAAAGCUGCCACAAAGAAACAGAAGUAUGAUAAGAUUUGUGAGAAGAAGCUUUCAACUCCUAUUGAAGUUUUAUGUAAAUCUCAUCCUGUGGAAUUUGCUUCAUACUUCCAUUACUGCCACUCUUUGACAUUUGAGCAACGACCUGAUUAUGGAUUUCUAAAGCGCCUCUUCCAUGACUUGUUUAAUCGUGAAGGUUAUGAAUCUGAUUAUAUUUUUGACUGGACGAUUUUGAAAUAUCAGAAAGCCCAAAGGACAAAAUCUCAGCUUCGGUUCUCUCCUGUUGCUUGUGGGAUGACUAGCCUCCGAGCGACUCCAAUGGAUGUUGACAAACAUCAAGUUACAAAUGCACAUAAUGUUCCUCGCCCUCAUGAAGUUACAGAGCAUAUUGGACCAAGUAGUUCUGCAUGUCCUACGGUUCAAAUGCAGUUCAAGCUUGCAGCUGAUAAUACUUUGAGUUCUGACAAUCAGCAAAUUGACAAGUUGAGGGUGGGAAUAAGCUCUGAGAAAGCACAAGCACCAAGUGCAUCAUUUGCUUUUCCUGGUGCACCAAAGAAAAAUGUCAUUAGUUCCAAACAAUCAGGUCCAACUGAUACUUCACACCUUGGUUCAUCCAGCAGUUGGAUCUCUAUGAUACACCGCAAUACCUCAACCAAAUGACUGGUGUAGGUUCAAAUGGAGGUUAGGUCCCACAAAAGAGGAAGCCUAUGCUACAAAGGUGGCUUCAAAUCUGUUGUUGCUCGAGUCGCUUCAUGGAUAUCAGGAUACAUAGUGUUUUCAUGUUAAGUUUUCAGGUGCCUGUCUCCUUGCUUUUUAUCGUCUUUACCAUGUUGCAGUACAGCUAUAACUAACAUGAUGCUGUUGUGGUAGAGAGCAACAUAUAUGCUUUUGAAGGUUUCUGACAAAGAUUCUGGAUCAAGCAACCUGAUGAAAAACAUGUCUUCAGUAUGGAAAACAUGAUGAACAAAUUUUCAGAGAGCACAAAAAAGGAAUGUGGGGUGGCGCCAUGCUUCUCACCAACGCCCAGUUCACACCCUCAAAGAAGUGGUGUUGCUUGAUUUCUGUAGCACCUCUGUGGUA